GACAUGUACGGAAGCCUUUAGAGAUAGAGGCGUGCUCGAAAGAGAGCCGUAACACAGGUGCUGCAUGGCUGUCGUCAGCUCGUGUCGUGAGGAUGUUGGGUUAAGUCCCGCAACGAGCGCAACCCUUGUCAUUAGUUGCUACAUUCAGUUGGGCACUCUAAUGAGACUGCCGGUGACAAGCCGGAGGAAGUGGGGAUGACGUCAAGUCCUCAUGGCCCUUAUAGGUGGGGCUACACACGUCAUACAAUGGCUGGUACAAAGGGUUGCCAACCCGCGAGGGGGAGCUAAUCCCAUAAAGCCAGUCGUAGUCCGGAUCGUAGUCUGCAACUCGACUACGUGAAGUCGGAAUCGCUAGUAAUCGUGGAUCAGAAUGUCACGGUGAAUACGUUCCCGGGUCUU
Molecule: ribosomal RNA, 399 nt
Filed under: uncultured Comamonadaceae bacterium
Lineage: Bacteria; Pseudomonadati; Pseudomonadota; Betaproteobacteria; Burkholderiales; Comamonadaceae
Description: bacterial SSU rRNA
Rfam family: Bacterial small subunit ribosomal RNA
Source: RNAcentral